UCCGAAGUGAAUAACGCCCCGCUUCCAGGAAAAGCCUCUAAGCUUCAGAUCACAUUGGACCGUACCGUAAACCGACACUGGUGGGUGAGCAGAUAAUCUGCCAAGGCGCUUGAGAGAACUCGGGUUAAGGAACUCUGCAAAUUGAUACCGUAACUUCGGAAGAAGGUAUGCCUUCGACGGUGUAGGGAUUUACUCCCGAAGCUGUUGAAGGUCGCAGGUAAUCGGUGGCUGCGACUGUUUAUCAAAAACACAGGACUCUGCGAACACGCAAGUGGAAGUAUAGGGUCUGACGCCCCCCGGUGCCGGAAGGUUAAUUGAUGGGGUUAGCCGCAAGGCGAAGCUCUUGAUCGAAGCCCCGGUAAACGGCGGCCGUAACAAUAACGGUCCUAAGGUAGCGAAAUUCCUUGUCGGGUAAGUUCCGACCUGCACGAAUGGCGUAACGCUGGCCACACUGUCUCGACCCGAGACUCAGUGAAGUUGAAAUCGCUGUGAAGAUGCGGCGUUCCCGCGGCAAGACGGAAAGACCCCGUGAACCUUCACUACAGCUUUACACUGAACUUUGAACCUUUCUGUGUAGGAUAGGUGGGAGGCUAUGAAACUUGGGCGCUAGCUCGAGUGGAGCCAACCUUGAAAUACCACCCUGGGAUGUUUGAAGUUCUAACCUUGGUCCGUAAUCCGGAUUGGGGACAGUGUAUGGUGGGUAGUUUGACUGGGGCGGUCUCCUCCCAAAGAGUAACGGAGGAGUGCAAUGGUACGCUCAGCGCGGUCGGUCAUCGCGCUCUAGAGUGCAAAGGCAUAAGCGUGCUUAACUGUGAGACAGACACGUCGAACAGGUACGAAAGUAGGUCUUAGUGAUCCGGUGGUUCUGUAUGGAAGGGCCAUCGCUCAACGGAUAAAAGGUACUCCGGGGAUAACAGGCUUAUUCCUCCCAAGAGUCCACAUCGACGGAGGAGUUUGGCACCUCGAUGUCGGCUCAUCACAUCCUGGGGCUGUAGCAGGUCCCAAGGGUAUGGCUGUUCGCCAUUUAAAGUGGUACGCGAGCUGGGUUCAGAACGUCGUGAGACAGUUCGGUCCCUAUCUGCCGUGGGCGUUGGAAACUUGAGGGUGAGCUGUCCUUAGUACGAGAGGACCGGGAUGGACGUAUCUCUGGUGUUCCGGUUGUCACGCCAGUGGCACUGCCGGGUAGCUAUAUACGGACGGGAUAAGCGCUGAAAGCAUCUAAGCGCGAAGCCCCCCCCAAGAUUAGGUUUCCCUGGGAACUCGAUUCCCCUAAAGGGCCGUCGGAGACUACGACGUUGAUAGGCUGGGUGCGUAAGUGCAGCAAUGCAUUGAGCUAACCAGUACUAAUUGCCCGUGAGGCUUGACCAA
Molecule: ribosomal RNA, 1368 nt
Filed under: metagenome
Description: bacterial LSU rRNA
Rfam family: Bacterial large subunit ribosomal RNA
Source: RNAcentral